CAAUAGCGUAUAUUAAAGUUGUUGCAGUUAGAACGCUCGUAGUCGGAUUUCGGGGCGGGCCGACCGGUCUGCCGAUGGGUAUGCACUGGUCGGCGCGUCCUUCCUUCCGGAGACCGUCCCUACUCUUAACUGAGCGGGGGCGGGAGACGGGACUUUUACUUUGAAAAAAUCAGAGUGUUUCAAGCAGGCAGCUCGCUCUUGCAUGGAUUAGCAUGGGAUAAUGAAAUAGGACUUUGGUGCUAUUUUGUUGGUUUCGAACACCGAAGUAAUGAUGAGAAGGGACAGUCAGGGGCACUCGUAUUCCGCCGAGAGAGGUGAAAUUCUCAGACCAGCGGAAGACGAACCACUGCGAAAGCAUUUGCCAGGGAUGUUUUCACUGG
RNAcentral lists this ribosomal RNA (380 nucleotides) under uncultured eukaryote. RNAcentral's name for it is "partial 18S ribosomal RNA". It matches the Rfam family "Eukaryotic small subunit ribosomal RNA", at positions 592 to 976 of the family's 1831-position model. The record is from RNAcentral.